RNAcentral lists this ribosomal RNA (425 nucleotides) under uncultured bacterium. RNAcentral's name for it is "partial 16S ribosomal RNA". It matches the Rfam family "Bacterial small subunit ribosomal RNA", at positions 354 to 796 of the family's 1533-position model. The record is from RNAcentral.
GUGGGGGAUAUUGCACAAUGGAGGAAACUCUGAUGCAGCGACGCCGCGUGAGUGAAGAAGUAUUUCGGUAUGUAAAGCUCUAUCAGCAGGGAAGAUAAUGACAGUACCUGACUAAGAAGCCCCGGCUAACUACGUGCCAGCAGCCGCGGUAAUACGUAGGGGGCAAGCGUUAUCCGGAUUUACUGGGUGUAAAGGGAGCGUAGACGGAAUGGCAAGUCUGAAGUGAAAUCCUGCGGCUUAACUGCAGAAUUGCUUUGGAAACUGUCAAUCUGGAGUGUUGGAGAGGUAAGCGGAAUUCCUGGUGUAGCGGUGAAAUGCGUAGAUAUCAGGAAGAACACCGGAGGCGAAGGCGGCUUACUGGACUGUAACUGACGUUGAGGCUCGAAAGCGUGGGGAGCAAACAGGAUUAGAAACCCUAGUAGUCC